GAUGAACGCUGGCGGCGUGCCUAAUACAUGCAAGUCGAGCGAACAGACGAGGAGCUUGCUUCUCUGACGUUAGCGGCGGACGGGUGAGUAACACGUGGAUAACCUACCUAUAAGACUGGGAUAACUUCGGGAAACCGGAGCUAAUACCGGAUAAUAUAUUGAACCGCAUGGUUCAAUAGUGAAAGACGGUUUUGCUGUCCCUUAUAGAUGGAUCCGCGCCGCAUUAGCUAGUUGGUAAGGUAACGGCUUACCAAGGCAACGAUGCUUAGCCGACCUGAGAGGGUGAUCGGCCACACUGGAACUGAGACACGGUCCAGACUCCUACGGGAGGCAGCAGUAGGGAAUCUUCCGCAAAGGGCGAAAGCCUGACGGAGCAACGCCGCGUGAGUGAUGAAGGUCUUCGGAUCGUAAAACUCUGUUAUUAGGGAAGAACAAAUGUGUAAGUAACUAUGCACGUCUUGACGGUACCUAAUCAGAAAGCCACGGCUAACUACGUG
This 497-nucleotide ribosomal RNA is filed under the name uncultured bacterium. RNAcentral's name for it is "partial 16S ribosomal RNA". It matches the Rfam family "Bacterial small subunit ribosomal RNA", at positions 28 to 507 of the family's 1533-position model. The record is from RNAcentral.